RNAcentral lists this non-coding RNA (24 nucleotides) under Arabidopsis thaliana (thale cress). The record is from RNAcentral. Lineage: Eukaryota; Viridiplantae; Streptophyta; Magnoliopsida; Brassicales; Brassicaceae.
AGCCCUACAGACUCCACCGCCGCC